AUCAAAUCAAAGCUUCAUUACAGGCUAGGCCUUUAAACUGUGAGGUUUGUGCUGAAUUCCAAGUUUAUCUUUUCUUCUAUUACAUCUAUUCUCUCUGAGCACCAAUAUGCUUACAGUAUGCACCAUGCGGUGCGCUAUUUAUAUUUCAUAUCAUAACGUUUCUCUGCAUUUGUAAUUUUUUACAUGAUUUCCAGUAUUUUAGUUUGACCACCAAGGCAACAGCAUGCAUUUCGGGGCACGCUCCUUAAAUGCGUAUUACCCUGCCACACACGCUGUGCUUCCAGGGUGUCCUUCUGAGAGCUCCUUCAGUGUCCGAGAGGAGCUGGGAGAACUCUGGCAGGGAAGGUCCGGGGCAGGCUCCCUGUUUCCCGCUGAUGUAAAGAGCCCCCCUCCCCGCCCCCAUCGGCCCUGGCUAUUGCCCCUUCCCCGGUGCCGGCGGCCCCGAUGCCCCAGCCCCGCGCUGCAGGGUAGCCGACGGUGGCUGGGAGGAGGAGCAGAGCCCCGGACGGGCCGCCGCCUCCCCGGGGCGACACGUGGCUCCGGCGGGUCCCGGGGCUGGCGGAUGCUGCAGUGCCGUCCCGGUGGGGUUCCUCUGCUAGUCUGCGGCGGAGGAGCUUUCACAGCAUCCUUUUUUUUCCCCUUUCCUUUUUUCCUUUCUCUCCCCCCUAUCCGUCCAAGUUUUCUUUUACAAAAAACCAAACUUUUUUCUUCUUUAUUUUUUUUUCCCCUUGCAAGAGCCACGCUGUGGAAAGACGGCGUGGUGGAGGAGGGAGAAACCCCUCCCCUUCCCCUCCCCCCGUGGCUCCUUCCUCGGAAAAGAAACAUUUUGGGGGUUUCCUCCCCUCCUACCUCUCCCCUCCCUUCUGUGCCGCUCCGCUCCUCGGAGCCGAAGCCGCCGCCGCGGCGCCCGCCCGCCCCGCGGCCGAGGAGGGCCCGGCGGGGCAGCCACGCCGCCCCCGGUAAGCCGCGCACCGGCCCCUCGGUGAGCACAGGGGCCGGGGGGGGGAUGCGGAGCGCGGCGGGGAGCGGGGCCGCCUCCGUUUGGCUUCGGGGCGGGAGAGCGGCGGGGGCCGGGCCCGGCAGCGCCGCUGUCGCCCCGGCACUGAGCGCUCGCUCGCACCGGAGGCAGCGCCGCCCGCCCGUGGCCCCGGAGGUGCCGAGAGUAAGUUGCGCUGCGUUAACUGGGAACGGCCUUUUUGGGGGUCGGGCUGCGAGGAGUCUGUCUGUCCGUCCGUCUGCCUGUCUGCUCCGAUCCCCCCUUGGCUUGCCAGGGGAUGCAGCCCCCGCUGAUUUGGCUCCUGGGGGCGUCGGGGCCGCUCUUGGCCGGGACGAAGGAGCGUGUUGGGGCUUGGGGGGCUUUUCCCGAGGAGUCGAGGGAGAUUUGGGGUGCUGGCAUUUCACUACCGGUCUUGAAGGGAGCCAUGUGCUGUACUGGGGUGGCGGCGGGGUGCUGGGAGCAGCCUGGGAGGCUCCAUGGGGACUGUCCUCCUGUCAAGGUGUUCUUCACAGCGUCAGGGCAGGCAGAUGUUUCUUUUUAAAGUGAAACCUGCAAAUUAUGUAAUGCCUUAGAUAGGUCUGUAGGGAAGCAGCCGCACAGGUCCGGGUAACUUGAUCUUCACAGCACUUCUCUCACAUAAAGCACUGGAGAAGCGAUGCUCAGAGUGUUACACUUAGGCUUAGCUGGAAAAGGGAGCUGCCUGCCAGAAGUGAAGGCGUUGCAGGGAAGAGGGGUAGCUGUGAACCGGGGGUGUACUUGCCCGUUUGGGGUUGCCUCGAAGGGCGGAGAAACUCGCCAUCCUCCAGACCUGGCACAGUCAGAACGCAGCCUCACACCUGCCGUUUCUCAGAAGAUCGGUGCUGUGCGCCCAUGAAAAGCCUCAUCGCAAAGGUUAUCGCUAAAUCCUCCUUCUUUAUGCAAUCUGAGUCAUGGUGCUCACAGCCAUGCAGGAUCCGCUACUCACUUUUUCCCACAAACGCACGCGCUGUUACUGAGAAUUUUGGAAUGGUUACCACGUAAAACCUCAGCUCAUGCUUCUCUUGGGUUUUGGUUGGUUUUUUUUUUUUCCCUUUUUUAAAAAUUUAGUUCAAGUGUAUAUUACUUCUUGCUUAAUAGAAGCUUGGAAACAGGAUUUGGAUGAAUCCCAGAGGUAGCUGAGAAGAACUCAAGAAUGCUAAGUUAAUGUGCCUGGCUUUUUUCUUCUCCUUCAUGGUGAAGAAGGGGGAUGUGGCUUGACCAUUGUUCUGGAAAGUUGAGGGUAAAGAGUAUUGUUAGUAAGCUUCUAUUUAGGACUAUGUGGUCCAGACAGUGCCAUUUACUAGUUCUAGUCCUUGCAGCUCUCAGAGAAUUUAAAUGAAAAACCCAGUCACAUGUUGACCAUACUCAACUCUGUAAAAUGGGGUGGAAUCAGAAAUAACUAGUUUCCUGAUGUUUCAUUCUCUACUGACUGUGUCUUUAAGAAGGUAUGCAAGCAUAUCUUCUUUCUCCAAACAACUGCAACUGCAAUUCAGAUGCUGUGUGAAUGUCAAAUGGCCCAUUCAGUCACAGCGGGGCAAUGGUCAUGUGCUUUAAAAUCAUGCACAUGCAUGCAGAAGUUUGUGAGACUGAGGCUGUAUUAUCACAUAAUGUUGCUUUUAGUUGAAUCAAGUUACGAUGAAAUGUGGCCAGUCGCUGCAGAUGAAGCCAAGCUUUGUUUCUGUGUUCAUGAGUGAUUCUGCUGGGCAUGUGAUUUAAAACAUAGUUGUUGAAGUAUGGAUUCUUGUUCCCUUCAGAGGGGAAGGCUCUUGGGCACAAACCCACAGGAUUACUGGGAUGCCAGCCUCCCACACAGGUUCCCAUCUUUUCCUGAGUUAAACUGGGAUCGGGGCCUUUGUUAUUUCUGUGCUCCUUUUUAAUAUUCUGUAUGUUGCAUGUCCUUUAAUAACCUGGCUUAUCACUUACUUAAACGUAGUGGGGUUGAGUGGCAACACAGGGGUUUCUGUAAGAUUGUGUUGGAAGGCACAGGUAAACUGUGCUAGAGUCCCCAAAAAUGGGCGUAGAGGAGCACUAGGGAGAGACUGAGCUUCUUCAGAUCCUUCCAGGUGUAUGUCUCUGUCCCCAGUGUGCCUCCUCAGAGAGGGCCAACUUCAGUUUCCAGAUGGCAGCUUCAAACAUGCAGCCAGUGCCUCUUACCGUCCUCAGUCCAGCUGGGAUUUCUGUGAAGUUGGUGGUCGGUUUGCGCAAGGAUAGAGCUGGGGUUGGGUGGUGUAAAUUCUUAAUUGCUGUCACUAAUACUGUGGUUGCAUUGCUGAGAAACAAAGGAGAAAAUGUGCCUUUAGAGCUGUGUUUUUUCCCUUGUUUCUCUUUUUCUCUGUCCCCACUGGGAAUGUUUUGCUCUUUUCUCCUAGUCUUUCCCUGCCGCUCCUUGCCACCCGCUCUCCCCUUGCCACCCACAGGCUUCUCUGUCCUGAUUUCUCCAGCCUUGGUUUGGUCAGCAAUAAAGAGAUAGUGCCAAUACUUAAAUAUGACAUCAUUUGGUUCGGGUUGAUACUGUGGUUAGAUUAAUAAAAGCUGUGGGGAGGUGGUGUGUUCCUGAGCUGUUAUUCCAGGCCGCUGCAGACCUCAGCUAGUGCUGCUUGCCAAAAGCUCACAAGAUGGGAGAGGAAGGCACAUGCAUCUCUGUAACUUAAGAUGUGGAUGGUGUGAGAGCUGAGUAAGCCAUACAGGAACCAUAUCUUUUUAGAGAGUAAAGGUGUUAAGCAUGUAUGUCAUUAGGAGGCAUAUUUAUUUAAAAUAAUGCAACUAAAUGCUACAUUAAUUAGAUCCUUGAUUACGUGUAAGUAGAGGCAGAGGCAGGUAUGAUAGCAACUUAGCCCCUUUUAUCCUGGCAGUCUACUUCAUUAUAACCUACUCUUCUGGUUUGCAUUUGUGCAUAUCCUGCAUCCUGCCUCAGUAAGGUAUUUAUUAGCUCACCAUUUUGCUGAAAUCAGUCUCAACCUUUAAAAAAAAAAGGUACAGUGCUGUUUGAUGUAGCAGGAUUCGGUGACUUUGUGUUAGUGAGUGUUCAAAAGGACGAGUAGAAUUCUUCCCCCUCGCCCCUCACCAAGUGACAGGUUUCAAGUUAAGAUUUAGAAGUGAGAGGUGUAAAAAAUCUUACUUUUUAAACUUCUAGAACUCAAUGUUUCUGCUCAAUAGGUAUUUAAUAGCGUAAAAAUGUCAAUUCAGUUUUAGUAGAAUGGUUAAAUGCUGGUUUGUAUUGUCUUUGGAGACUUCAGAGCUGCCCCUUAUUUUCAUCCUCUUCAGUGGAGAAAUGAAAAGGCCUGUGUGCACUUCACAGGAAAUGAGUGUCUGAUACAGGCUUGCAGGCUGCACAUUUCCAAGAACCGCUCUCAAGGUAUUUUGAUAAUGCACAUUCUCUCUGCCUUCUCCCUUCCUGCUCCUCCUGCACUUUGUGUGCUGCUGCUUGUUCGCAAACACAUGCAGAGUCGAGGGGAAGAACCAAGUGGUGCCACUGUUAAGUUUGCAGAUGGGCUCUUUUAGCUUUGUACUGGAGCGAUGGCUGGCAAAAUUGGGUUAAGCUGGCAGCAUUCGGUUGCCUUUGUUGCAGAGGGUUUUUGUCCUUCGCCUCACUCCCUGCAAAUGCUGAAAAAAAAUUUUGACUUCAGACUGUGACUUGUGCAAUGAGGGAGUUUUUUGUGUGUAUGUGAUUCUGCAGUUCAGAAACAGUUUGGAUCUAUCUACUUUUGUACUUCCUCAGUAGCAAAGUUUAUUUGGAAACUUAGGCUAAAGCUAAGAAAAUGAGUGUGCCUGUUAGCAGUUGGAAAAUGCCAGGGAUCUGCAAUCUGUACUGUGUCGCUGGGCUUCUGCACAUCCUGCUGGAGGUGCCUUGUUGAAGCUAAGGGGAUUCAGCAUAAGUUUGCCUCGGUUGGCACACUAGUGGUGAUGAGCACAGGUUUGAUUGUGCUGGAAUGGUUUGUUUGUGCUUUUUGACAGACCAGCAGUAUUGUUCUUUAUCCAUAUUUUAGUUCUUCCUUGUUUUCUGGUGAGGUUUUGUGGUGUGGAAGGAGAGAAGUCAGAGCUGGAGAAAACAUUUACUGCUUUAGCAGUAAAGACUGAAUUCUGCUGUUUGUGUAGGGUGCAUGCUGAUUUUCAAGUCAGCAGAUCCAUAGAAGAGAUGCUGGUUUUUUUAGUCAUCAAAGAAUGAGGGAAACACUGACAGAGCUAUUUUAACUCUGCAGCAGGUCCACAGUUGAUUCCUCAUACUGACUUCAUGUGCCCUUGUUUACUACUUCAGUUUUGCACAAAGGGCAUUUUAUGCCUUGUGCUGGGCUCCCCUUAGUGUUAUGUCAGGUUUGAAGGGUUAAGAGGUGUCUUAAAAAGGUGUUGCUCAAAAACCCAGCCCUUCGCUGCUGGAUUCCUCUGCCUAAGGCCUGCUAAAGCAUGACGUGGUGGGUACAGCAUAGAAACAAAGCAAAGACAUUUGAGAGAGAAGAGAAAUGAGACUUCUCAGAUCAGCUCUCUCACUUUCCCCAGUCUACAUGAUUGGAGUUUUUUCCUUUUAUGAGUUUUCAAAUUAGUUACUUUUCAAUCUUGGUCACCUUUGAACUUCCUCUCAUCUGGUUUUCUGAAAGAAUACAAAAAGAAUGUCCUGAUUGUACUGUAUCUUUCUCUGGCAUCCUCUUGUAUACAUAUCUGCUCUCUAAACUGAGCAAGAAAUUUCUCCGGUCUCUCUCUGUACAGUUACGUGUUGCUUCUUACUACCCAUCUUUAGGCCUACCCUGUUUGUUUCAGCUCUGUAUGUUUUUAUUUCAGGUAACUGGAACCGACUGUAUUCUCUCAGGUGGUGACAUUACUGUUAGGUUCCCAUCCAUUUUGCACCCUCCCAGUCCCGCUUGCCUCUUGGUUUUUAAAUUACUGCUUUUGCAUUCGGCGCUGGAGCUUUCCUUAAUGAGCCCUCGGCACUGUUACUCGGCUCAUUGGUCAGCUGCACCACUUAAUUUAUUGCUCUUGAAAAUAUAGACCCAGCUGGUUUUUCUACAAGCCCGCGUGCAUUUGCGUGUGUCAGGACAGAGUCUUGCCUGACCUCCUGCUGCUUUCGUGCUGACGAAUUUUGAAUGACCUCUGACUUCUCUGUCCUGCAGGGAGUGAAGUGAUUUUGUCACUGUUUACCCAGGGAGGGCGAUGGAGAGGGCUCACUACAUUUUGAGUUGGCUUCCUGGAUUUAAGUAACACGAGGCCGAGGCCGUGAGCUGCCUGCUGGGAAGCAAGGAUGGAUUUGCUCUUAAGUAAAGCUGUGCAAAAACUGGGAAGUGCUGCAUCAGAGCUUUUGAAUUUGGACCACUUCCAGUCCUGACAUUCAGAAACUGAUCCCUAUGGGUGGCAAAGACAAAGAGAUACAGGAUACAUAAAUACCUCUUAUGGGUGGGAAAUCCUCGUUACCCUUACUGUUCUUCUUGCUGUAUUGAGCGUCACUGCAACAG
Molecule: RNA transcript, 6456 nt
Organism: Motacilla alba alba
Lineage: Eukaryota; Metazoa; Chordata; Aves; Passeriformes; Motacillidae
Gene: NFAM1
Gene name: NFAT activating protein with ITAM motif 1
Exons: 3
Source: RefSeq, a predicted model, not a curated record